AUUGAACGCUGGCGGCAGGCCUAACACAUGCAAGUCGAACGAGUGGCGGACGGGUGAGUAAUGUCUGGGAAACUGCCCGAUGGAGGGGGAUAACUACUGGAAACGGUAGCUAAUACCGCAUACCAUCGGAUGUGCCCAGAUGGGAUUGGCUUGUAGGUGGGGUAACGGCUCACCUAGGCGACGAUCCCUAGCUGGUCUGUGAGGAUGACCGGCCAAACUGGAACGGAGACAGGGUCCAGACUCCUAAUGGUGGCAGCAGGGGGUAAUAUUGCACAAUGGGCGCAAGCCUGAUGCAGCCAUGCCGCGUGUAUGAAGAAGGCCUUCGGGUUGUAAAGUACUUUCAGCGAGGAGGCGUUAAUCGCAGAAGAAGCACCUGCUAACUCCGUGCCAGCAGCCGCGGUAAUUC
This 406-nucleotide ribosomal RNA is filed under the name uncultured bacterium. RNAcentral's name for it is "partial 16S ribosomal RNA". It matches the Rfam family "Bacterial small subunit ribosomal RNA", at positions 30 to 526 of the family's 1533-position model. The record is from RNAcentral.